This 657-nucleotide ribosomal RNA is filed under the name Anguilla luzonensis. RNAcentral's name for it is "partial 16S rRNA". It matches the Rfam family "Bacterial large subunit ribosomal RNA", at positions 1646 to 2563 of the family's 2925-position model. The record is from RNAcentral. Lineage: Eukaryota; Metazoa; Chordata; Actinopteri; Anguilliformes; Anguillidae.
ACCGUUAACCCAACACAGGAGUGCCUCAAGGAAAGACUAAAAGGAGAAGAAGGAACUCGGCAAACACAAACCCCGCCUGUUUACCAAAAACAUCGCCUCUUGCUAACAAAGGAAGUACUAGAGGUCCCGCCUGCCCUGUGACCACAAAGUUUAACGGCCGCGGUAUCCUGACCGUGCGAAGGUAGCGUAAUCAUUUGUCUUUUAAAUAGAGACCUGUAUGAAUGGCAUAACGAGGGUUUAACUGUCUCCCUCCCCUAGUCAAUGAAAUUGAUCUGCCCGUGCAGAAGCGGGCAUAAAUACAUAAGACGAGAAGACCCUAUGGAGCUUUAGACGAAAGAUCAAACAUGUAAAGAAACCAAACUAACCAAAAGGAACACAAAGGCCACUAAACCCAACGUAAAAUGAUCCAAAUGUCUUCGGUUGGGGCGACCAUGGGGGAAAGAAAAGCCCCCACGAGGAACUAGGGGCAAUCCAUUAAGUCAAGAGAUACACCUCUAAGCAACAGAAAAUCUGACCAAAAAUGACCCAGGACACUAAUCCUGAUCAACGAACCAAGUUACCCUAGGGAUAACAGCGCAAUCCUUUCCCAGAGUCCAUAUCGACGAAAGGGUUUACGACCUCGAUGUUGGAUCAGGACAUCCUAAUGGUGCAGCCGCU